Molecule: ribosomal RNA, 497 nt
Filed under: uncultured bacterium
Lineage: Bacteria
Description: partial 16S ribosomal RNA
Rfam family: Bacterial small subunit ribosomal RNA
Source: RNAcentral
GACGAACGCUGGCGGCGUGCCUAAUACAUGCAAGUUGAGCGAUGAAGAUUGGUGCUUGCACCAAUUUGAAGAGCAGCGAACGGGUGAGUAACGCGUGGGGAAUCUGCCUUUGAGCGGGGGACAACAUUUGGAAACGAAUGCUAAUACCGCAUAACAACUUUAAACAUAAGUUUUAAGUUUGAAAGAUGCAAUUGCAUCACUCAAAGAUGAUCCCGCGUUGUAUUAGCUAGUUGGUGAGGUAAAGGCUCACCAAGGCGAUGAUACAUAGCCGACCUGAGAGGGUGAUCGGCCACAUUGGGACUGGGACACGGCCCAAACUCCUACGGGAGGCAGCAGUAGGGAAUCUUCGGCAAUGGCCGAAAGUCUGACCGAGCAACGCCGCGUGAGUGAAGAAGGUUUUCGGAUCGUAAAACUCUGUUGGUAGAGAAGAACGUUGGUGAGAGUGGAAAGCUCAUCAAGUGACGGUAACUACCCAGAAAGGGACGGCUAACUACGUG